UUCGCAAUGCCCGAAAGGGUGACGAAGCGACGCCGCGUGGGUGAGGAAGGCCUUCGGGUUGUAAAGCCCUGUCAGGAGUUAAGAAAUGUAAGUGUGCUAAUAUCGCAUUUACUUGACGAAGGCUCCAAAGGAAGUCACGGCUAACUCUGUGCCAGCAGCCGCGGUAAUACAGAGGUGGCAAGCGUUGUUCGGAAUUAUUGGGCGUAAAGAGCACGUAGGUGGGUUUGUAAGUCAGAUGUGAAAGCCUUCUGUUCAACAGAAGAAUUGCGUCUGAAACUGCGAGUCUUGAGUGUAGGAGGGGAGAAUGGAACUUCUGGUGGAGCGGUGAAAUGCGUAGAUAUCAGAAGGAACGCCGGCGGCGAAAGCGAUUCUCUGGCCUAUUACUGACACUCAGUGUGCGAAAGCUAGGGGAGCAAACGGGAUUAGAUACCCCGGUAGUCCUAGCUGUAAACGAUGGGCACUAAGUAGAGGGGUUUU
RNAcentral lists this ribosomal RNA (477 nucleotides) under Candidatus Scalindua brodae. RNAcentral describes it as "bacterial SSU rRNA". It matches the Rfam family "Bacterial small subunit ribosomal RNA", at positions 365 to 832 of the family's 1533-position model. The record is from RNAcentral. RNAcentral also lists the same sequence under 1 other name. Lineage: Bacteria; Pseudomonadati; Planctomycetota; Candidatus Brocadiia; Candidatus Brocadiales; Candidatus Scalinduaceae.